UACAGAGGGGGCAAGCGUUAUUCGGAAUUAUUGGGCGUAAAGGGCGCGUAGGCGGCCUGGCAAGUGGAAGGUGAAAUCCCUCGGCUUAACCGAGGAACUGCCCUCCAAACUGCUUGGCUUGAGUCCGGGAGAGGUGAGUGGAAUUCCCAGUGUAGCGGUGAAAUGCGUAGAUAUGACACAGAACACCGAUUGCGAAGGCAGCUCACUAAACUGUAACUGACGCUGAGGCACGAAAGCGUGGGGAGCAAACAGG
RNAcentral lists this ribosomal RNA (253 nucleotides) under uncultured bacterium. RNAcentral describes it as "partial 16S ribosomal RNA". It matches the Rfam family "Bacterial small subunit ribosomal RNA", at positions 524 to 776 of the family's 1533-position model. The record is from RNAcentral.